RNAcentral lists this ribosomal RNA (393 nucleotides) under uncultured bacterium. RNAcentral's name for it is "partial 16S ribosomal RNA". It matches the Rfam family "Bacterial small subunit ribosomal RNA", at positions 523 to 918 of the family's 1533-position model. The record is from RNAcentral.
AUACGGAGGAUCCGAGCGUUAUCCGGAUUUAUUGGGUUUAAAGGGAGCGUAGGUGGAUUGUUAAGUCAGUUGUGAAAGUUUGCGGCUCAACCGUAAAAUUGCAGUUGAAACUGGCAGUCUUGAGUACAGUAGAGGUGGGCGGAAUUCGUGGUGUAGCGGGUAAAUGCUUAGAUAUCACGAAGAACUCCGAUUGCGAAGGCAGCUCACUAGACUGUUACUGACACUGAUGCUCGAAAGUGUGGGUAUCAAACAGGAUUAGAUACCCUGGUAGUCCACACAGUAAACGAUGAAUACUCGCUGUUUGCGAUAUACAGUAAGCGGCCAAGCGAAAGCAUUAAGUAUUCCACCUGGGGAGUACGCCGGCAACGGUGAAACUCAAAGGAAUUGACGGGG